GUUCAAAUUGUUACUGGCGUCACUGCUUCUACGUGAACACUCACCGCUAAUAAGGAAUUGACUAUUCAUAAGGAGAGCGUGAUUGCCUUCAUAAUCCCAUCCCUUUCUAUCUUUCCUGCAUUUAAACAAAAUGUGAAGACCAUUCCCAUGGUCCGAUUAACUUAAAAAAACCCCAAAACUACAGAGACAAUUCCGGGCUCCUACUGCUUCCUUUGAUACCCAUGUGUGUUAAAAUCAGGUUUUCAUUGGCAGUAAAAAUUCACAAGAAACAGUUUCCUCUAAAGAAACAAAGUGCAUCUCAUUCAAAUUAAGGUUUUGAUUGACAUAUUUUUUGUGCCAAAAUAAAUAUACUUAGCUAGUGGUGUUAUGUAUUGAGGUCUGCAGUAGCACUUUUGUUGAUGCUUACAGUAUAUUGCAUUUACUGUCACAUGUGCCACUAAGAGAACCAUUUUCCCUGGUAUUUAGUGUAGUCACGAUGCAAUGUGGCUCCCAGUUAAGAACUGCAGAUAAACAGAAAAUGCUCUAGGGGACCCUGUGUGGUUUUGCCUCCUCCCUAAGCAUGCUGAGCUCUGCUACGUUAAAAUUUUAACAUCUUCUGAUUGCUAAAGCAAUACCAUAAUGGUGUUUGGAACAUGUUUAUAUGUGCAAGUUGAAUAUCUAAGGCCGGUAAUCUGGUAAUGACAACGAGAAAGCAGUAGAAUGGACAGUAUCAUUCCAAACUGGCUAAAUCAAAAUAUGAGGGUAUUAGGAAUUACGUUAGCUAUACAUAAUGAGAUAUGGCAAGGACCUAGGUGUAACUGGCCAAAUUUUUUUAUUUUUUUUCUACAGUACAACGCGUAUGCUGAACAGCUGACAGAGUUUGUCUUGUUAUCAACUUUCCUAUUACGGACUGCCUACAGCCUCACAAGAGCCUUUGAAAGGAGCUAUCCAGCUCUGGAUCUGCUUACAAAUGGACAUAAAACUCCUUUGAAAUGGGUGCAGGAAUAGGCUUCUUGCUGUUGCUUGUUCACACAAAACCAUUGAAGGUUUCCAAUGAGCCUGUCACACCUGAGAUUGAGUAGUAAUGGCUGAUCAGGGGUAUCUCAAACCACAGCUGAGCUUAUCAUCUGCUGUGUUUCCUGGAAGACCCAGAGAUGAAGAGGUUGGACACUGGAAAACAUUUUGCCCAGGUGAACAAUUUGAGCAACAAUCCAAGCAACAACAGUAAUGACUCAAAGGCAAGCUAUGUCUGUCUUUUCAUCUCUGUAUGUAAGAAGGGCAGCUCAGGCUUCCACCACCCAUGUCGACCCCUUGAAGACUGUUCCUCACUCCCAAACUGAGAAGCUCUUGAACUAGCAAGAAAUGAAAUGCACUGAAACCAAAGAAGAAAUGGAGAAAAACAUAUUUUACACAGUAAUUUAUACACUUUAAAUACAUUUUUAUUAAAACAUAUGCUUUUAAUGACUUGUAGAAAUCCACAACCUUGGAGCCAUCAGAAGCUGGUGACUUCCUUCAAUAAUGUUGAAGGAAGAAAAGGUACAUUCUGCUUUAGCAGAAUUUCUUCUUACUUUUAAGAUUAACUGGUUGGAUUUAGUAAGUUUCUUUGAACUUGACAAGAUUCUUCACCUUGUCCCUUUUAAAGUAUGCUUUAAAGAAAACUACUUUCACAAACAGACAGUAAUCACAGAUAAAGGUUCAGCAUGCAGCAAAGUGAAGUACAGGAAAACCACAAGGAACAAACAGGUGUUACAAAGAUUGUGCUUUUAAGAAACUACCCACAGAGACAACAGUGAGUGCAGAUGAAAGACUGCUUGAAACUGAACAAGAGCUAAAAUGUCAGGGUUGCAAUAGUUUUAGGUCACCUAACAUCCAGCUAGAGUUUAAAGUUCACAUUCAGUAUAAAUGAGACAGUGUGCCUGUGAUUAUGCAGAGAGACAAGUUGCAGCACAACACCUGAACUCUCAGAGAAAGGCUGCUGAGCUGAUAGCAGGGUUGGCAUGACUGACUCACUCAGGAAUUAGGCACCAGAUUUGAAAGUCUUGUGUUCAUACACUGGAUGGUCUGCUCUGCAAGAUGAGUGGAGCUGGAGGGUUGAUAUCUGUAUCUGUGAAGAUAGAAGGAAAACUUCUCUACCUCUGGCAAUAUUGAGCAACAGCACCAAUUAAACUUUUGCCUUUUUAGGUCUGUUGCCAGCUUCUUCACCCAACAGUUCCGCUGUCACUGCAACACUCAGAAUCCCUCUCUGUGAGUCUCUCUCUCUCUCUGUAUGAGAGUGAGACAGACUCAGAAAUCGAGACUGUCAUACUCAGAGAAAGGCCACUAGCAUUUCACAUCCAUUUCUUUCAUUUGCUUGCUUUUCCAUAAGAAAACAGCAGAGUGCACCAGCAGCUAAGUUUAUUUCAAGGCUUACCCCUUAGUUACUUAAUACAUACAUUACACUUUAAGGACAUUUUGUAUAUGCCCUUUAUCACAGGAUUCUUAGCACAUACAUAUUUGUUAUAUGCCUUUAUCACAGGAUUCUUAGCACAUACAUAUUUGUUUAUUGGAGUCAGAAUUUGUCCUGUAUAGUCUCCAAUCCAUUUUUUACUUAAAUCUACAAGAAUAUAUGUGGGAUCUUUAUAAAAAGAGGUCUUUCUCGGGUUUAACACACAUGAUGAUUUGGGUAUUCUUGGCUUUGUGGAU
Molecule: long non-coding RNA, 2661 nt
Organism: Passer domesticus (house sparrow)
Lineage: Eukaryota; Metazoa; Chordata; Aves; Passeriformes; Passeridae
Exons: 3
Source: RefSeq, a predicted model, not a curated record